GACGAACGCUGGCGGCGUGCUUAACACAUGCAAGUCGAACGGUAAGGCCCUUCGGGGUACACGAGUGGCGAACGGGUGAGUAACACGUGGGUGAUCUGCCCUGCACUUCGGGAUAAGACUGGGAAACUGGGUCUAAUACCGGAUAGGACCACUGCCUGCAUGGGUGGUGGUGGAAAGCUUUUGCGGUGUGGGAUGGGCCCGCGGCCUAUCAGCUUGUUGGUGGGGUGAUGGCCUACCAAGGCGACGACGGGUAGCCGGCCUGAGAGGGUGACCGGCCACACUGGGACUGAGAUACGGCCCAGACUCCUACGGGAGGCAGCAGUGGGGAAUAUUGCACAAUGGGCGCAAGCCUGAUGCAGCGACGCCGCGUGAAGGAUGACGGCCUUCGGGUUGUAAACCUCUUUCAGCACCGACGAAGCGCAAGUGACGGUAGGUGCAGAAGAAGGACCGGCCAACUACGUGCCAGCCGCCGCAGUAA
This 478-nucleotide ribosomal RNA is filed under the name uncultured bacterium. Its description in RNAcentral is "partial 16S ribosomal RNA". It matches the Rfam family "Bacterial small subunit ribosomal RNA", at positions 28 to 523 of the family's 1533-position model. The record is from RNAcentral.